GCUGGAGUGGUGGAAUGGCAUACACGCCGGUCUCAAAAACCGGUGAGGGCAACCUCGUGAGGGUUCAACUCCCUCCUCCAGCACCA
Molecule: transfer RNA, 86 nt
Filed under: Omnitrophica WOR_2 bacterium RIFCSPHIGHO2_02_FULL_50_17
Lineage: Bacteria; Pseudomonadati; Candidatus Omnitrophota
Also listed under: 1 other name
Description: tRNA-Leu
Rfam family: tRNA
About the family: Transfer RNA (tRNA) molecules are approximately 80 nucleotides in length.
Source: RNAcentral